AGAGCUGCGGUCCCUGUGCGCGGGAUCGCGUCGGGGGCGGGGCGGCGACAGGCCUUCAACGUCAAACUGCUGACGGGCGCCGUUACGACCCGCGCUCCCGUGCGCUCCUCAAAUUCUGAGACGCGUGGCUGGAGAGCGGGCGGCCCUGGCCCCGGAGAGCCGUGUUCCCGCGGGAUCUCGUCGCGGGCGUGAGGCGGGGCCGGCCUGGGCCGGUCAUCCCUGGCUGGCGCGACCCGCAGCCUGUCCGGGAAGCCGUUGCGACAUGCGGGCUGGGAACCGCCUCACCUCCAGGGGGGACCGCGGCGGCCCGCUAGACUCUGGUCGGGUCUGGAGUAUUGGGCCCUCUGGCCGGACUCGGUGCUCCUCAGGCCCCAGCGCCCGGCACUGAGCCUCGCAUCCACAUUCGCAGAGUAAACCCAACAAGUGUUGAAUGAAUGAGGUUCCCCGGGCCCCGGCUGUCACUGGGCUCUGCGCCAGGCCAAGAGCCGAAGGCGGGGGAGGAAGAUGUCGAAAUGGGCGGGAUGAUUCACAGAUGACGGCCGGUGGCGAGGCGGGGCUGGAGGCCGCAUCCCAAAGGCAGCAGGGAAGUGCGGCGGCUGUGGGGAAGCUCGGACGCACGGCCUGGCCGAGUCUGAAGCAUCAGUAUUUUGUCCCUGAGCCGGCGCGCUGAUGGGUCCCCCGCCUGGCGAUGAGGGCUUCUCCCUCCCUCGGGUCAGCCCGGGUCCUGAGAGGCAAGGCCAGCGAUUCCCGGCCUUAGGACCUCCUGCUCUAGGGAGCACGGGCGUCUUCUUCCAUUUGCCUUCCCCGAGCGUGUUGGCACAAGCUGCCCGCGGUUUCCAGCUCUGUCUUCUCUGUUUUACCCAGAUGAUGCAACUGUGGACUUCUCCAUCUGUUCAUAGGUUUUCCUUGGAUAGGAAAGAUGUUUUCCUUUUUUCUUUCUAAAGUUUAGCUCUUCUCUGGGCUUCCUUUUUAAAAACUUUUUCUACUCUCUUCAGCAGUUGUUAUUAACCUUUAGGUCGCGACCGUUUGGAAAAUAAUAAAACUACGAAUUCUCUUCUCCUACUUCCACCUCCCAUCCCCUGUGUGCACUCAAAAUUUUGCAUAUCAUUUCUGCGUUUCAGAGUCCCUGAAGGUGCCAUGUGGACACCCUAGGGGUCCAUUAACCUGGUUAACCUCUCCCUGGCCGGCGCAGUGGCUCAUGCCUGUGACCCCAACACUGUGAAGGCCGAGGUGGGACGAUUUAUUGAGCUCAGGAGUUCGAGACCAGCCUGGACAACAUGGCAAAACCCCGUCUCUACAAAAUAAUAAAUACAAAAAAGUACAAAAAUUCAAAAAUUAGCUGGGUAUGGUGGUGUGCACCUGUAGUCUCAGCUACUUGGGGGAGGAUUGCUUGCGCCAGGGAGGUCGAAGCUGCAGUGAGCCGUGUUCAUGCCACUACACUCCAGCCUGGGUGACAAAGCAAGACUUUGUCUCAAAAAAAUUUUUUUAAAAGGAACUUCUCCCCCACAGCAUGUUCAGUCUCUCCUUUUCUCUAGCAUAUUUAGCUUGAGAAAUGAAUAGGUCUCACAAAAACCCAUUCAAUCCUGCUAGAGUACUAAUUCCCUUUACUGCCAGAUUACUCCACUAAUGACCUAUCCACCUCUAUGUCCUUUCUCUCCUUAAGCUCUUUACAUUUUUCACUCUUUUAUUCAUUGGUCAUAAAUGACCUUUCCAAAUCCAUCGGUCUUUUUCCUAUUCCCGUUUUUCUUAACAGAGAUAACACUUGCCGCCACACCACAUUGGCACUUUUUACUAGCUUCAGAAACCACUCUACCUUUUAGACAUCUCAGUCGCUUACACUUCUCUAGCCAUUGAAGUGGAACAUCCCUAAACGUUUAAUGCUUCUUGGUCAUCUUUAAUACCUUAGAGAACUUUGCCAUUCCAAACCAGUUGUCCUCAUUGGAACCCUAUCUUUAUUUCCCUUAUUGCAUACUUUUAACUGAAAUUUCCAUGGGAACAUUCAGUAAUGUUUAUUGUGUACCAACUGUGUACUUGAAGCUGGGGAUACAGGACAGACAUAGUCCAUGUUCUCAUGGAGCUUUUUAAUGAUGAGGGUGGGGAGGUGGGACAGAGAAAAAUACACACAAAAAAUGUCAGCUCUGGAUGCUAUGCUGACCUUUGAAAUAGGGUGGUAUGAUAUAGUGUGACUGGGUGGCUACAUUUGUAUGGCCAAGGAAGGCCUUUCUGAGGAGACGACAUGUAUGGUGAGUUCUGAAUGAUAGGCAGGAGCCAGUCAUGACAGACUUGGAGAAGGGCAUGCCAGCAGAAGGAACAGUAGGUACGACAACCCUAAGGUGAGAACAAGGUUGGUGCAUGAGGAACAGAAAGAAGGCCAGUGUGGCUGGAGCAUGGUGAGUGAGUGGGGAGGGAAUACAACACGAAGUUGGAAAGAUAAACAAGGGGUGAAUAUCCACCUUGAUUUCUGACUCAGCGUGUCCAUUCCAAGCUCAGCCUUUCCACUCCCCACCCCAACCCAUUCCUCCAAAAUGUUCGUUUUCCAUGAAAGUCUUCAUUAUUUGCCCAAUAGAUGAGACUCUAAAGCUGGAGUCUUCCUUGACUGCCCAUUCAGAAUCAUCAUCAUUCUGAACUGUUUCUUCUGUUUAUGCUCUCCUUUUCCUUCGUAUUGAUAUACUUUCCCUGAAUCUGAUUACAUCUGUAUUGUCAUAACCCCUUGAAAGGCCUGCCUGCCUCGAGGAUCCCCUAGCUUCAGCAGUAUUUUGAUUCUCCUCCUUCCAGGUACACAGUAGGAUGUUUUUUCCACCUCCUUGAAGAUAGGCAUGGCCCUGGGAUUUGCUUUGGCCAGUGAAAUACGAGGGAAGCACAAGAGUCACACAUUUCCUCCUCUGCCACAUGACUAGUGAUUGUUCAAAUGGUGGAGACUCUGUCAGCCUGGGGCCCUGGUGAGAAUGACAUGAAGCAGAGUUCCCUACUUGUUACCUGCUUGCUCCCAGACAGACUUCAGCAUCAGUGAGAAAUAAAUCUUAGUUGUUUCAAGACACAGAGCUUUUAGGAUUAUUCCACACCAUAGCAUAAACUAGCCCAGUACUUCUGUGAUGAUAAAUGAUGUUACCUGAAGAAUUUGUUAAAAUGCAGACUGCAGUUCUGUAGGUCUGGUUGGGGCCUAAGAUUCUUCCUUCCCUCUCUCCCUCCCUCCUCCCUCCCUUCCUUCCUUCUCUUUCUUCCUUCCUUUCUUCUCUUUCUUUCUUCCUUUCUCCUUCCUUCCUUUUUUCCUUCCUUCCUGUCUUCUCUUUUUCUUUCUUUCUUCCUUUCUCCUUCCUUCCUUUUUUUCUUCCUUCCUUCUUUCUUUGUUUCUUUCUUUCUUUUUCUUUCUUCUUUCUUUUUUCUCUCUUUCUUUUUCUUUCUCUCUCUCUCUUUCUUUUGUAGAGACAGGGUCUUGCUAUCUUGCCCAAAAUGGUCUUAGAACUCCUAGGCUCAAGCAAUCCUCUUGUCUCAGCUUCCCAAAGUGCUGAGAUUACAGGUGUGAGCCACCACGCCUACCUAGAUUCUGCAUUUUUGACAAGCUCUCAAGUGAUGCUGAUGCUGCUAGACCUUGGACCACACUUUGAAUAGUAAGCACCUAACCUGCACACAAACCCAUACACACUGUCGUACAUCUCACCAGCACUAAACCUGCCUAAAAAAUUAUAAAAGUAAGCAGGCCAGGCACGGUGGCUCAUGCUUGUAAUCCCAGCACUUUGGGAGACCGAGGCAGGUAGAUCACUUGAGGUCAGGAGUUUGAGAUCAGCCUGGCCAACAUGGUGAAACCCUGUCUCUACUAAAAAUACAAAAAUUAGCCAGGCGUGGUGGCGUGUGCCUGUAAUCCCAGCUACUCAGGAGGCUGAGGUGGGAGAAUCACUUGAACCCGGGAUGCAGAGGUUGCAGUGAGCCAAGAUUGGGCCA
This 3939-nucleotide long non-coding RNA is filed under the name Homo sapiens (human). RNAcentral describes it as "non-protein coding lnc-ENTPD7-1:3". Lineage: Eukaryota; Metazoa; Chordata; Mammalia; Primates; Hominidae. The record is from RNAcentral.